Molecule: ribosomal RNA, 500 nt
Filed under: uncultured Myrionecta
Lineage: Eukaryota; Ciliophora; Litostomatea; Cyclotrichida; Mesodiniidae
Description: SSU rRNA
Rfam family: Eukaryotic small subunit ribosomal RNA
Source: RNAcentral
AGUGUCUAAGAUAAGCCAUGCACGUCUAGUACAAACUAAAUGAUGGUGAAACUGCAAAUGGCUCAUUACAACGGUUAUGAUGUACCCGGGAGUUCCGAUGGAUAUUUCCAGUAACACUAGAACUAAUACAUGUCCCUGCGUUUAUUAGUUUCGCACAGUCCGUCGCUGAGUCAUGGUAAACAGUUGAUCGACUCGACGUCCCGGAACAGUUUCCGCCCCAUCAGCUUCGAUGGUUGGGUAUUGGCCUACCAUUGCAACAACGGGUAACGAGGAAUUAGGGUUUGAUUUCGGAGAGGGAGCCUGAGAAACGGCUACCACAUCUACGGAUGGCAGCAGGCGCGCAAAUUACCCAAUGCAGACACUGUGAGGUAGUGACGAGAAAUAAUAAAGCGGGACUUCUGUUUCGCUAUUAUAAUGAGGAAUAACCAAAGGUCAUUCCGAUUAGCAACUGAUGGGAAAGUCUGGUGCCAGCAGCCGCGGUAAUACCAGCGUCAGUAGCA